GGCUUGUUGGUCUAGGGAUAUGAUUCUCGCUUUGAAAGCGAGAGGUCCUGGGUUCCAAUCCCGGGCGAGCCC
Non-coding RNA from Danionella cerebrum, 72 nucleotides. NCBI's taxonomy places the organism in Eukaryota, Metazoa, Chordata, Actinopteri, Cypriniformes, Danionidae. The record is from the annotation of a GenBank genome assembly.